This 714-nucleotide long non-coding RNA is filed under the name Helianthus annuus (common sunflower). RNAcentral's name for it is "sRNA HanXRQr2_Chr11g0472981". Lineage: Eukaryota; Viridiplantae; Streptophyta; Magnoliopsida; Asterales; Asteraceae. The record is from RNAcentral.
GGUAUUAACCAGAGACGAGUCAAGUAACGAGUCAACCACUGGUCAACCGCGGUCAAAGCUGGUCAAUAGUGGUUAACAUGUCAGACUCGGUUGGCAUUUGAAUCGGGGAAACUCGGUGAGAAAUUCAAGAACUGGGCAUUCGUGAUGCCAUGUUAUAUUGACGGAAGUAGUAUGUACCCACUUGUAUACGAAUCUUUAUUACCUAAAGUACGUCGUUAGCUCCACAAGCACGCCUUUGUCUCUGUUGAAGACAAAUCGAGCGUUAGCUGCACCAGAUAAAAAAAAAAACCUUUGUCUCUGUUGAAGAAAAAUUGAGCGUUAGCCGUACCAGAAAAAAAGAGCUAUGAGUGUGCUCCUGUUGUAUUUGGUGCAGUUUCAUCAACUGCUAUUGUAUUAUGUGGGCACAUAAGUAGUUAUCACUCAAUUAGCUAUUGGUGCUCCUCUGCCUCCUGUAGGUUCCACCCAGAGUAAUAGAGUAAUAUGACGUCUUUGUGGCUGCAGUAGAUAAAGGAAAUAUAAUAACAAUGCCAAACAGAAGCAUGCCUACUCCUGGCGCGCUUUUAAUGGGAGACCCAUUUAACACGUGACACCCGUUCCGGUGUAGGAAUGAUUGUUGUGUUAUCAGAUAUCGUCUUACUUCGCGACCUUUGUAGACCACUAAGUAAUCUUAAUGAUGCACCUACACUUUGCAAUUAUCUUGAGUGCUUCUAUGCU